RNAcentral lists this ribosomal RNA (467 nucleotides) under uncultured Planctomycetota bacterium. Its description in RNAcentral is "bacterial SSU rRNA". It matches the Rfam family "Bacterial small subunit ribosomal RNA", at positions 355 to 822 of the family's 1533-position model. The record is from RNAcentral. Lineage: Bacteria; Pseudomonadati; Planctomycetota.
UCGAGAAUCUUCGGCAAUGGGCGAAAGCCUGACCGAGCGAUGCCGCGUGCGGGAUGAAGGCCCUCGGGUUGUAAACCGCUGUCAGUUGGGAGGAAGGCUCCGUGAAGAACGGAGUUUGACCUAUCUUCAGAGGAAGUCCGGGCUAAGUUCGUGCCAGCAGCCGCGGUAAUACGAACCGGACAAACGUUAUUCGGAAUUAUUGGGCUUAAAGGGUGCGUAGGCGGCGCGGUAAGUGAGGUGUGAAAGCCCACGGCUCAACCGUGGAACUGCGCUUCAUACUGCCGUGCUUGAGGGAGACAGAGGUAAGCGGAACUGAUGGUGGAGCGGUGAAAUGCGUUGAUAUCAUCAGGAACACCGGUGGCGAAAGCGGCUUACUGGGUCUCUUCUGACGCUGAGGCACGAAAGCUAGGGGAGCGAACGGGAUUAGAUACCCGGUAGUCCUAGCUGUAAACGAUGAGCACUUGGUU